CCUCAAGAUUAGAAUCUCACCAGGAAAAGCCUAUUUCUGUUUGUCACUCUCUGCUCGUGUUCUGUGUGUAGUAUUAUUGCUAUAGGCUUAUUUUCUAGGGUUAUGAUCCUUAUGUAACCAUCUGUCUCUCAAUGUUCUAGAAGCUUCUGUAACUGUCCCUCUUCUUGUCAGUUCCCCUUCAUUUCCCUUCCCUUUCCUUCCUCCACUAUUCUCUCUUAACCCAUUAUAUAAUACUGCAAUAUUAUAUCAAUGUGAGGUUUAAAACAGGUUCAUCUUCUAGUCUUUUCUAGUCUGGUUUCAGGACAAGGACAAGACAGGAUUCAAGGACAAAGACAUUACAAGAAUUUUGCUGCUCCUAUGGACAGCUUAUCAAGUUGGCUGCUAUGGGAAGAAAAGGGAGUUGCAGACCCAGGAGGAAAGCAUCAGAUCUUGAGACCAGACAGGGUUGCACUGCAGCUGCAGACACAGUCUCCAUGAGGUGUUUGCUUUGGAGAUGCUGAGAGCCCUGCACAAGCACUGAGCUGCAGCUGGUGAAGUUGGCUUCAGUCAGGAGAAAAUGAGAGGAUGUCUGGAAGAGGCAAAAAAGACACGCUCCCUCCUAUUUGCCUAGUGUCCCGCUGAGUCACCACAGCAAUGACCCUUCACCCCUGGCAGUGGCAGUUGCUUCCAGUAGCAACAGUUGGUUCCAAUUUCCAAAGGGUUUUCCCCCACACUCCCAGAACUGGGUCCAUCACAGCCUCUCAGAGACACCGUUAUCAGCCCAUCAGGCCUCCAUCUUCCAAGGUCAAAGGCUCUGCUCUGCAAAGAUGCUUCUCUGAGUUCCUGAGGACUCACGGGCAGUGUCCACUGUCCAGACAUCUGGGCCCCAGAUUCAUAGACACCACCCAAGCUCUGAGUGGAUCAACCAGCCUAGAAGAGACACUCCUAGGAGGUCUGGGUCCUAUUCUGUGGGGGUCUCUCCACUGACAUCUUAAGGUACCCUCACCACCUAGCAGUGCCCCUCCCCACACAUCCAGGAGCUGCUUCAAGGGGCACUUCCUCCAUGCUUCCACAGUUGGAAAACCCCACCUCAUCCUCUUCCUGUUUGUCUCCUCAACUCUUAGUCACUGCUCCUGCUUUACCUUGGAGUUGCUGGUUUUUUCUUUUUGCCUUUUCUUUCCUAUAAUAAUUACAUAACAAAUCAGUGAACUGAUGAUGUUAAAGACGCUUUCAUUUUAUUAAGUAGUAGAAUGGGUCAUUUCUUAGAAGACUGAUGCAAGGACCUACAGCGGGGGAUACUGGGCCUAGUUCUGGGAUAGUUUUGGAUUUGCCCAACAAACAUAGCAAAGGGAUCUGUCUGAAUCCCACAGACAGAAUAAUUUUCUGUGGUAACUGGGAUCCAAUCCUGGAGACAGGCCUGUAUUUGCCAAGACUGAGCUAAGUACCAAAGUCAAUACUGGUGUUUUUUUUAAAUUUUAUUUUUUACAUCAUUGUUCAUUUUUAAACAAUA
Long non-coding RNA from Talpa occidentalis (Iberian mole), 1489 nucleotides. RefSeq lists it as uncharacterized. The transcript has 3 exons. Lineage: Eukaryota; Metazoa; Chordata; Mammalia; Eulipotyphla; Talpidae. The record is from RefSeq and is a predicted model, not a curated record.